AUGCUUCACCAGUUGUGGAUGGCUGGUGGGGAUGCCUCUGCAUUAAUCCUUGCUGGACGAAGUACAAGCAACACUCUUGAGAAGACUUUGAAAGAAAAGGAUCACAGGAUGUGUGGCCCUUUCAGAGUCCAGCCUCUCUCCAGAUGGCUUUCCUCUUCCUGGUCCCGAACCUGCUGUGCUGGGACCUCUCCUGAUUGGGUAGGCCAGAUGCUUCCCUGCUGCUCCACUCAUGAUUGACAGGUGCUUUCCCCAAACAGAAGACCUAACAUCCUCACUUUUAUUCUUGAAUGACAGCGGCUGUGGCCCCUGGAUCUUCUCUGAUGAUUUUGGCUUUGACAUUAUUAAAGUCUUAUGCUGAUUGAAAUAUUCAUAACUGUCUGGGAAUGCCCAUGCUUGGCAGAGACUGCUAUACAUUAACUAUGGCUGAACUGUUGGUAUCUGACCAAGCAUGUGCCUUCAAAAGAUCCAUGUGGCUUAGCGUUCUGAGCUGUCAGAUAAAGAGCAGUGUUUAAAUGACUAGUAUCUUCAUUUGGAAGCUAAUGGGCAAGCAAACCCAGAACAUUAUAAAUUGGCUCUUAGAGAGAAAAUGGACCCUUAUCUGUGUAAAUGGAGCAGCUCAUUUACCUUUUAAGUGUACAUAUAUAAUCAAUAAUGUCGUACUACAGUAAUCUACACCACACCUUUUAAGUAAUUUAGCAACAAAGUUGGAGCUUCUAGUUGUUUCUGUGUUUUCUUUCCUUAAACUUCUUCUUGCUUUCAUGCAAAUGUACCUCUAUGUGAAACAUAUUACAAAUAUACAACUGUGAAUUAUUAUUUUUUUUUUCUAUUUAAAGUGGCUUCCUGCACUUUUCCCUCAUUAAAAAUGUG
This 867-nucleotide long non-coding RNA is filed under the name Carassius auratus (goldfish). RNAcentral's name for it is "lncRNA (ENSCARG00000050353.1)". Lineage: Eukaryota; Metazoa; Chordata; Actinopteri; Cypriniformes; Cyprinidae. The record is from RNAcentral.